This 224-nucleotide small nuclear RNA is filed under the name Erinaceus europaeus (western European hedgehog). Its description in RNAcentral is "7SK RNA". It matches the Rfam family "7SK RNA". From Rfam's summary of the family: 7SK was discovered as an abundant small nuclear RNA in the mid-70s but a possible function has only recently been suggested. Lineage: Eukaryota; Metazoa; Chordata; Mammalia; Eulipotyphla; Erinaceidae. The record is from Rfam by way of RNAcentral.
UGCAGUAUCUGCCACCCCAUUGAUUGCCAGGGUUGAAGAGGAUGACCUUCCUCAAAUAGAGCUGGACUUGUAUUGGGUUGUGGGAAUACUGGUAGCUGUGCUCUUCUUUUAGAACCUCCAAGCAAACUCUCAAGUUCCAUAAUUGCUUGAAGAGCAUGUAGAACAAUGUGUUACCCAGAAUUCUUUAAGUAAUGUUCGUUGUUGUAGCUUUCAUCUGACUUGAC